Long non-coding RNA from Drosophila navojoa, 185 nucleotides. The record is from RefSeq and is a predicted model, not a curated record. Lineage: Eukaryota; Metazoa; Arthropoda; Insecta; Diptera; Drosophilidae.
UUUUUGGCUGCAAUUUUCAUGCAAAUCUAUCGAGAGCUAUCCAAAGCUGCAAAGAGAAAGGUGUUGUCUAGUACAACGACUCGCGAAAUCAGUAUGCAACGCAUGCUGGACAGUGUCUGUUGAUGAUUGGCCAGGCCAGGCUGAUUGGUUAUGCAUUUAGGCAAUGAUGUAUACACACACACACA